RNAcentral lists this ribosomal RNA (469 nucleotides) under uncultured bacterium. RNAcentral describes it as "partial 16S ribosomal RNA". It matches the Rfam family "Bacterial small subunit ribosomal RNA", at positions 28 to 507 of the family's 1533-position model. The record is from RNAcentral.
GACGAACGCUGGCGGCGUGCUUAACACAUGCAAGUCGAACGGAAAGGCCCUGCUUGCAGGGUGCUCGAGUGGCGAACGGGUGAGUAACACGUGGGUGAUCUGCCCCUUACUUUGGGAUAAGCCUGGGAAACUGGGUCUAAUACUGGAUAGGACCAUGCUGUAGGUGGUGUGGUGGAAAGAUUAGUUUCGGUAAGGGAUGAGCUCGCGGCCUAUCAGCUUGUUGGUGGGGUAAUGGCCUACCAAGGCGUCGACGGGUAGCCGGCCUGAGAGGGUGGGCGGCCACAUUGGGACUGAGACGCGGCGCAGACUCCUGCGGGAGGCAGCAGUGGGGAAUAUUGCACAAUGGGCGCAAGCCUGAUGCAGCGACGCCGCGUGGGGGAUGACGGCCUUCGGGUUGUAAACUACUUUCGGCCAUGACGAAGCCCUUGUGGUGACGGUAGUGGUAGAAGAAGCACCGGCUAACUACGUG